GGGGAAGGAGUCAUGGAUGCUGGAGGGGCUGCCCAGGCCGCUGGGGAAGCAGGGGGCCCAGCUCAAGGGACCUGGGUGCUGGCCAGGACGCCACCGCCCAGAGCAAAGAAACUGCUUCCUGCUGUGACAGCCCUGUGUGUGCAGACAGACCUCCUCUUCUGAGCCUCCCAUUCCUGGAAGACGGCUUCCAGUUCCUCCUCCUCUCUGUGAUGUUUCUCAGGAGCAAAGCCCCACCAUACACACACCGCCCUUACCCAUCAACAGACCUUGGGCCUAAAGCCUAAAUUCAGACAUCCACCAGCCUGAAGAGUGUGGGUAAAGACUUGGUGGAAAGUCAUUCUCCACUGACAGGCACCACUGUGGGAAGACCUACUGCCAGGAACCCUGCCCUCAAGCUUCCAUGUAUCCUAUUUUGCUAUGACCCAGGAACAAACACCCCGUCUCCCCAAGGGGCCCCAUUUCCUGAGAGAUAGUGAGCUGCUAUUGCGAACACCCCAAAUCCUCGGGGGCUGGCAGAACCCGAGGCAGGAGUGCGACACGUAGCAGAGGGGAACUGGGUAUGAGACGCUGGGCAUGGCUGCAGUGGGGAGGGCCAUCCUGGACUCUGUCUCCUGUCCUUCCUCCUGCUGACCGGUGACCUGAUCCUGGGUAAGCACAUCUCAGCCUUGCUGGCUGCCCCAGCACCUUCCCAGAAACAGGGCUAACACUGCCUAAGGCCCUGGCAGCCCCUGCCUGGCUGCCCCAGCUGAUCUACCCUCCAGAUUGGACCCAAAGACCACUGCCCACACUCCACUGGGACAUACCUGAAGCUCCCAUACUCCUCACACUGCUCCUGGGUGACCCUGCUCAGGCUUCUGCUGGAGCCCUCUUCCCUCACCCAUCACUGACCAGGGGUCUAAAACAUUCACUGUGGGUAUCCAGGAAACAAAGAUCCCCAAGUGCCCUAUUUUAAAAAUCCCAGUGUCUGGUGACUGGACACAAAUACAAGCCAGAAGCAUGCUCUCCAGACUCGUUUUCUGGAGUUCUAAUGCA
This is a long non-coding RNA of Mesocricetus auratus (golden hamster), 1032 nucleotides long. RefSeq lists it as uncharacterized. The transcript has 2 exons. Lineage: Eukaryota; Metazoa; Chordata; Mammalia; Rodentia; Cricetidae. The record is from RefSeq and is a predicted model, not a curated record.